GCGGAAUAACAUGGUGAGCCAUGAAGGACUCGAACCUUCGACCCUCUGAUUAAAAGUCAGAUGCUCCAUUCCAUUCCAUUCCAUUCCAUUCCAUUCCAUUCCAUUCCAUUCCAUUCCAUUCCAUUCAACAUCACCUUGCCAAGGUGGGGGUCGCGGGUUCGAAUCCCGUCUUCCGCUCCA
RNAcentral lists this transfer RNA (180 nucleotides) under Bacillus amyloliquefaciens. Its description in RNAcentral is "tRNA-Ser". Lineage: Bacteria; Bacillati; Bacillota; Bacilli; Caryophanales; Bacillaceae. The record is from RNAcentral.